UUUAACCAAAUGUUCUCUGAUUGUUCUGUAUUAUAGGCUCUUUCUUGAUACAGCGUGGUGCUGUAUCUGAGACAGACUGUCAUCCAUGUACCCCUGGAUUCUACUGUCCAGACUGGGGUCAGAGCUCUGUGGAGCUCCGCUGUCCUGAGGGCAGUUUCUGUCCGGCAGGUUCUGUAACAGGACGUCAACCCGGUAGGAUGUAAUACUGACGAGGCAGAAAUCCACAUUGUCCUCUGGGCAUCAGUUAAACUGGGGUACUGGUUGAACAGAGCACUGAGCGGGUUUCAUAAAUAGAGAGAGACGGUGUCUACGUCCUUCUGCCAUUUAUCUUUGUGACUAACCACAGCAUCUCUACAGGGUUGCCCUAGUGCUGUCUGAAUUAUUUAGUACUGUUGCCAUGAAAUGUCUAGACAUUGUCUAUUUAUAUACUGCCAGUCUCUUACCUUUAUGAUCUGUCUGUUCAGGCCGUCAAUGUACGUCUGGUCACGCGUGUCCGUAUGGCAGCAUCCAGCCUGCCAUCUGUCUGCCUGGUACUUAUCAGCCUCUGCCAUCCCAGCCUUCCUGCAAACCAUGCCCACCAGGUUUUUACUGUUUGGAGGGUUGCACCACCCCGCUUCCCUGCCCUUUGGGCACGGCAAGUAUGAUUGAGGGGUUGCAAUCUCAGCUGGAUUGCUCUCCAUGUCCUCCCGGAUUCUACUGUAACACUAGUGCACUAAUCAGCCCCACUGGACCCUGCUCUGCAGGUCAGUGCCACAGAAAUUCCCAUUACAGCCUGUUCUGCUGGUGUAUAACUUAAUUUUACAUCUUGUUCUCCCUCCAUAAAAGGCCAUUUCUGUUCGUCUGGAGCCACAGAGCCUGCCCCAGUCUCUCAGAUGUAUGGAGAUAUAUGUCCAGCAGGACAUUACUGCCCCGAGCAGAGCAGUGCUCCAUUACCCUGUCCUGUCGGUUUCAUUCUCCAGUUCAAAGGAGCCACUUCUUCUAAUGACUGCUCCCCUUGCCCUCCAAGCAGAUACUGCAUUGCACCAGGCUCCUCUCAGCCCUCAGGGUUUUGCGCUCCAGGUCACUAUUGCAUCGGUAGCACAGAUACUGCCACACCUCAGGCCUCACCGUCUCAGCAGACCUGUUUUUGUGACCUCAUACAUUCAUCCCACCUCCAAAUGUACGAUCUUUGCUUUCUGAAGCACAACAUAACCUGCUCAAUUCACAUUUCAGGUAAGACUCCUGGUAUGGUGCUAAACCAUUUAUAUGGUAACGGAUGA
Molecule: long non-coding RNA, 1259 nt
Organism: Cyprinus carpio (common carp)
Lineage: Eukaryota; Metazoa; Chordata; Actinopteri; Cypriniformes; Cyprinidae
Source: Ensembl